ACCCGCCCCACUGCCCAGCUCGGGCGGUUCCGCUUCGGCCAGCUCGGGAAAUACCACUCUGGACUGGGGAGUGGGGAGCUACAGCCGCCGGAAACGAGGAAGUCCGGUCUACCUUCACUCCCCCUCCUUCCGCCUUGUCAGGAAUGUGGAGCUGCCUAGAUUCAUCACGAUUAGAUUGGAAAGUAUACUCCCCCCCGUAGGGCCAGGCAGAGCAACAGAGCUGCUGACCAGACUGGUCAUCUAGGCACUGUGGGAUAUCCUCCUGAGGCUAAAAGCUGUGUAAACAGGAAGAAUGUGUCUUCACUUGCACAUCACUGGAAGAGCAUCACCGGUGGCUGUGUACCACAAAAGCAGAAACCAACCCAGCACCUGGGAAAAUCAGUAAAUGUAAGAAGGAGUGAAACCCAACCACCAAAAUCCUAUUUGAAAGUGCCAUCCAAAUGGUUUAGGAAAUAUUGUACAAAAAUGUUCAGUUUAUUUAUGUCAGUGUUAUUAAA
Molecule: long non-coding RNA, 497 nt
Organism: Gopherus flavomarginatus (Mexican gopher tortoise)
Lineage: Eukaryota; Metazoa; Chordata; Testudines; Testudinidae
Exons: 3
Source: RefSeq, a predicted model, not a curated record